This 909-nucleotide ribosomal RNA is filed under the name uncultured archaeon. RNAcentral's name for it is "bacterial SSU rRNA". It matches the Rfam family "Archaeal small subunit ribosomal RNA", at positions 21 to 906 of the family's 1478-position model. The record is from RNAcentral.
CCCCACUGCUAUCGGGAUGGGACUAAGACAUGCUAGUCGAGCGUCUCCAAGCUAUGGAAGAGACGCGGCACACAGCUCAGUAACACGUGGCUAACCUGCCCUUGGGACAAGGACAACUCCGGGAAACUGGGGCUAAUCCCUGAUAAGUGAGAACUCCUGGAAUGGAUUCUCGCUCAAAGGACGUUUAGACCAUGCUUCUAGGCGUCGCCCAAGGAGGGGGCCGCGACCGAUCAGGUUGUUGGUGAGGUAACGGCUCACCAAGCCUUUAACCGGUACGGGCCGUGAGAGCGGAAGCCCGGAGAUGGGCACUGAGACAAGGGCCCAGGCCCUACGGGGCGCAGCAGUCGCGAAAACUCCGCAAUACACGAAAGUGUGACGGGGCUAUCCCGAGUGCCAUCCGCUGAGGAUGGCUUUUCCCCAGUGUAUAAAGCUGGGGGAAUAAGGAGAGGGCAAGCCUGGUGUCAGCCGCCGCGGUAAUACCAGCUCUCCGAGUGGUGGGGAUGUUUAUUGGGCCUAAAGCAUUCGUAGCCUGCUUGGCAGGUCCUCCGUUAAAUCCAACGAUUCAAUCGUUGGGCUGCGGGGGAUACUGUCCAGCUAGGGGGCGGGAGAGGCCGACGGUAUCCCCGGGGUAGGGGUGAAAUCCUAUAACCCCGGGAGGACCACCAGUGGCGAAGGCUGUCGGCUAGAACGCGCUCGACGGUGAGGGAUGAAAGCUGGGGGAGCGAACCGGAUUAGAUACCCGGGUAGUCCCAGCUGUAAACGAUGCAGGCUGGGUGUUGGCGCGGCUACGUGCCGCUCCAGUGCCGCAGGGAAGCCGUUAAGCCUGCCGCCUGGGAAGUACGGCCGCAAGGCUGAAACUUAAAGGAAUUGGCGGGGGAGCACCACAAGGUGUGAAGCUUGCGGUUUAAU